AGUGAACGCUGGCGGUAGGCCUAACACAUGCAAGUCGAACGGCAGCACAGUAAGAGCUUGCUCUUACGGGUGGCGAGUGGCGGACGGGUGAGGAAUACAUCGGAAUCUACUUUUUCGUGGGGGAUAACGUAGGGAAACUUACGCUAAUACCGCAUACGACCUACGGGUGAAAGCAGGGGAUCUUCGGACCUUGCGCGAUUGAAUGAGCCGAUGCCGGAUUCGCUAGUUGGCGGGGUAAAGGCCCACCAAGGCGACGAUCCGUAGCUGGUCUGAGAGGAUGAUCAGCCACACUGGAACUGAGACACGGUCCAGACUCCUACGGGAGGCAGCAGUGGGGAAUAUUGGACAAUGGGCGCAAGCCUGAUCCAGCCAUACCGCGUGGGUGAAGAAGGCCUUCGGGUUGUAAAGCCCUUUUGUUGGGAAAGAAAAGCAGCAGGUUAAUACCCCGCUGUUCUGACGGUACCCAAAGAAUAAGCACCGGCUAACUUCGUG
This 492-nucleotide ribosomal RNA is filed under the name uncultured bacterium. Its description in RNAcentral is "partial 16S ribosomal RNA". It matches the Rfam family "Bacterial small subunit ribosomal RNA", at positions 29 to 507 of the family's 1533-position model. The record is from RNAcentral.